Molecule: transfer RNA, 96 nt
Organism: Phlebiopsis gigantea 11061_1 CR5-6
Lineage: Eukaryota; Fungi; Basidiomycota; Agaricomycetes; Polyporales; Phanerochaetaceae
Rfam family: tRNA
About the family: Transfer RNA (tRNA) molecules are approximately 80 nucleotides in length. Their secondary structure includes four short double-helical elements and three loops (D, anti-codon, and T loops).
Source: Rfam
GGCGAGAUGGCCGAGCGGUCUAAGGCGCUAGUUUCAGGCUCUCAUAAAGCAAGUUACUAGUCAGAAAUGGCGUGGGUUCGAAUCCCACUCUCGUCA